RNAcentral lists this ribosomal RNA (492 nucleotides) under uncultured bacterium. Its description in RNAcentral is "partial 16S ribosomal RNA". It matches the Rfam family "Bacterial small subunit ribosomal RNA", at positions 29 to 507 of the family's 1533-position model. The record is from RNAcentral.
AGUGAACGCUGGCGGUAGGCCUAACACAUGCAAGUCGAACGGCAGCACAGUAAGAGCUUGCUCUUACGGGUGGCGAGUGGCGGACGGGUGAGGAAUACAUCGGAAUCUACUUUUUCGUGGGGGAUAACGUAGGGAAACUUACGCUAAUACCGCAUACGACCUACGGGUGAAAGCAGGGGAUCUUCGGACCUUGCGCGAUUGAAUGAGCCGAUGUCGGAUUAGCUAGUUGGCGGGUUAAAGGCCCACCAAGUCGACGAUCCGUAGCUGGUCUGAGAGGAUGAUCAGCCACACUGGAACUGAGACACGGUCCAGACUACUACGGGAGGCAGCAGUGGGGAAUAUUGGACAAUGGGCGCAAGCCUGAUCCAGCCAUACCGAGUGGGUGAAGAAGGCCUUCGGGUUGUAAAGCCCUUUUGUUGGGAAAGAAAAGCAGCAGGUUAAUACCCCGCUGUUCUGACGGUACCCAAAGAAUAAGCACCGGCUAACUUCGUG